This is a long non-coding RNA of Nematolebias whitei (Rio pearlfish), 275 nucleotides long. RefSeq lists it as uncharacterized. Lineage: Eukaryota; Metazoa; Chordata; Actinopteri; Cyprinodontiformes; Rivulidae. The record is from RefSeq and is a predicted model, not a curated record. The transcript is spliced from 3 exons.
GGCUAGCUCCAGCUAGCUUAACUGUUGACUGGACACAAAAAACUGCGAAAUCAAGGAGAAGGGCAGCGCCCAGAAUAACAGUAAACCUCAGCAAACCCCGCAGCAUCCCGUGGGGAAUGGGACCCCGGGUGUACCCUCCGGGUCGUCGGACGCUGGAACAAAGGUCAUGUCCUUCAGUUUGUUAAAGCCGCCGUGCUUCACACAGCUCUCCAAGCAUGCAGUGACCGUCUCGCCCCACUCGGCAGCUCUGUUCGAUCCAAAAGAAACGUGCCUCG